RNAcentral lists this long non-coding RNA (1580 nucleotides) under Felis catus (domestic cat). RNAcentral's name for it is "lncRNA (ENSFCAG00000046886.1)". Lineage: Eukaryota; Metazoa; Chordata; Mammalia; Carnivora; Felidae. The record is from RNAcentral.
UCUCUGACUUAUUUCACUUAGCAUAAUACACUCUAGUUCCUUUCAUGUUGCUGCAAAUGGCAAGAUUUCAUUCUUUUUGAUCACUGAUUAAUAUUCCAUUGUAUAUGUAUAUACCACAUUUUCUUUAUGCAUUUAUCUGUCAAUGGACAUUUGAGCUCUUUCCAUACUUUGGCUAUUGUUGAUAGUACUGCUAUAAACAUGAGGGUGCAUGUGCCCCUUCAAAAAAGCACACCUGUAUCCCUUGGAUAAAUACCUAGGAGUGUAAUCUCUGGGUCAUAGGGUAGCUCUAUUUUUAACUUUUUGAGGAACCUCCAUACUGUUUUCCAGAGUGGCUGCACCAGCUUGCAUUCCCACCUGCAGUGGAGACAUGCCAUUUCUUUCACCAGAGUCUCAGCAGGCUGGAAGGUCAACGAAUGUACCGAGCAUUUGGGAACCAAAAUUGCAUAUAGAGAGGUCAGAGCGAUGCUGUGUCCACACAUACUGGGCCAUGCUCAUUGAGGAAAAUAAUCCAUGGAUGGGGAGAGUACAGUACCUCACAAGCAAGGGAGUAUACUUCCUGAUGGAUUUUGUACAAGAAUGAGUUUUAUAGAGCAUUAGAAGAGGCAACACAGACAUAGGGUGUAAUUGGCUAGGUCACAGAUUUCCUCAUAAGGCUAGCCAGCUCUGUUUUAUUUUUUAAUUUUUCUUAAAGUUUAUUUAUUUUUGGGACAGAGACAGAGCAUGAAUGGGGGAGGGUCAAAGAGAAGGAGACACAGAAUCCGAAACAGGCUCCAGUCUCCAAGCUGUUAGCACAGAGCCUGAUGCGUGGCUUGAACUCAUGGACUAUGAGAUCAUGACCUGAGCCGAAGUCGGCCGCUUAACUGACUGAGCCACCCAGGCGCCCCAUGCCAGCUCAAUUUUCUAGGGUAAGGUAGGCUAGCAAAAGCUGAGUUGGGGGAUAUGAUUAGUUAUGUCAGCAUUCUUUACCGGGUGUUUUUCAUAAGUGCAGGCUGACUUCGCUUUACAUUUGUGACAUGGACUGGGCCACUGGGAUGGCUCUAUUUCGUGGGUCCUGUUAUAUGAAUUAACUUUAUCAGCAUGCUGUUCUUAUUUUAUUUGUGCUCAGUCAUGAUUACAGAGGGUCUUCUUUUUGUCUUGCACCAUUAUGAUCACAGAAUGAACUUGUCUGAUGUUGUGCAAUCCUUUUCGUUCAAUAGAACACCAUGGCCUGCUACUCGGCAAUAGCUCUGAUGCAAAAUGAACAAACCUUUUAAAAGAGUGUCAAAGAGGGGGCACCUGGGUGGCUUAGUCAGGUAACCUUCUGACUUUGGCUCAGGUCAUGAUCUCAGAGUUUGUGAGUUCAAGCCCUGCAUUGGGCUCUGUGUUGAUAACUCAGAGCCUGGAGCUUGUUCAGAUUCUGUAUCUCCUCUCUCUUCCUCUCCCCUCCUCAUGCUCUGUCUCUCCCUCUCUCAAAAGUAAGUAAACAUUUUAAAAAAUUAUAAAAGAAUGUUAAAGAGAAUAGAAGAGAGUUUUAUUUCAACCCAAGUUAGGACAUCUGCCCGCGAAACACAAUCUUCAUAAGGAAGAUACUACUGCAGGGA